Non-coding RNA from Vicia faba (fava bean), 210 nucleotides. Lineage: Eukaryota; Viridiplantae; Streptophyta; Magnoliopsida; Fabales; Fabaceae. The record is from the annotation of a GenBank genome assembly.
AUGUUUAGAGCAUACUUUCUUCUAUUUGUUGAAAUUCAUCUGUGCUCUACCGAAGUUAUUUGCGACUCAUUCCCAAAAUAUGGAAACUCAUUUGAAUUUCAACAAAUGGAAAAGGGAAAUUUGUUUGUAAAAGAGUUUGUUGCUGACUCUUCUAGGAUAACUUGUUUUUGUCAUAAUGAUAGGUCUAUACCAAAUAAUAAUAACAACUGA